UUUACUGUAACACUCCCAUUUUCAUUUUAUAACCUGAGAGUUAGCUGCAGAACACGAGUGAGUCAGCCAGCUGGUCCUCACUGCUCUCAUGUUCCUUGAGCAGGGCCUAUGCUAAAAACCUUUUGGCUGAAUGUGUUUGUUAAGGUGAUUUGAUACGGACAUGGCACUGAGGGUUACAGAUACCGCUAUACUAAAAGUGUGCCACUUCUUUUCCCCAGCAGGAAUUCUGGAGCAGCCAUCUGCACUGCUGAUUUCUGCCAGGAGAUCCGGGUUCACUUUUUCACGUCCUACAACAAUUUAUGCCCUCAGCAACCUGCACUGUGGCACCAGGGUUCCCUCAUUGCCGGCUGAGAAAUCUGAAAACGUGCAUUGCUUUGUUUUGCCCCAUUUCUUCAGGGAAAGUUGAGGCUCUUGAGCAGAAUCAGACAGAACUCUGAAUUGUCUCCGCUGUUCUGGCAGUGGUGAAGAGUGAUGCAGUUUGGGUCACCAAGUCCUCCAUCCACGGGCAAGCUGUGACCACAGAAACCUGCUUCUUCGUUUGGUGGCUAUGAGGAGAAUGCUGCUUCUUCUGGGAAGAGUUGCUUUGGGAAUGACCAGGCCAGGGGCUGGAUGUGUGUGCGUUGCACCAGGCCAGAAUAAGGAAAUGCUUUUUAUACAAGCAGGUGACAUGCAAGCAGCACAGCAAGCAGCAAUGCCUAAAGCAAAACAAACCAAAGAGAAAAUCCGGGAAGGUUUAGCAACACAGGUAAUGAUUCUGCUUAACUGUAAUCUCAGCAUCCGAGAAGAAAACAGCAAGAACUGUGAUUGGCUGACUGCAGUAUAUCACUGCUGCUCUCAGGAGCGGGCAGGUAAUUGGCCAUGCUUCACCUAACGUGGUUAGCACGGUUGUUAAUUACUUCACUCACCAGAUAAGUGAAUGCUUGUAAGCAAUUAGGGCUCAAUUCCAUGAGGAAGGACACGCACAGGGGUUUGUUCACCUUCUUUUUGCCAUAUGCUCUGGGAGUUUGAGUUGUGCCUCCGAACGCGUGGUUGUGAGGAGCUCCUAGCAGUGAGAGGAGGGUGCUGGGGUGUGGGGGGAUGGAGCUGUGGGACAGAGAGCAAACCAGAGGUGGAGUGAGUCCCUGUGCUGUCAUCCAGCACUCGGCGAGGAUGGGGAAGUGUCUGUAAGACCCAAUGCUGCUGCGUUCUCUCAUCAGUUCUCCUCUGCAGUUUUCUCCUGGCAAGCUCUACUCCAGGAUUUGCAGGGGAGACCUCAAAGGAUGUAUUAAAAAAAAAAA
Non-coding RNA from Meleagris gallopavo (turkey), 1277 nucleotides. NCBI's taxonomy places the organism in Eukaryota, Metazoa, Chordata, Aves, Galliformes, Phasianidae. The record is from RefSeq and is a predicted model, not a curated record.